Long non-coding RNA from Anthonomus grandis grandis, 267 nucleotides. RefSeq lists it as uncharacterized. The transcript has 3 exons. Lineage: Eukaryota; Metazoa; Arthropoda; Insecta; Coleoptera; Curculionidae. The record is from RefSeq and is a predicted model, not a curated record.
UCACCACUUCAAACAAAUAGCGAAGCUAAGGAGUACAAUGAAAAACCGGUUUUCUAUUUCCCAACAGAUGACUCCAAAGUAUAUUGCCAGUUGCAAAAUGUUCAAUUGUCACCAGUUCAAACAAAUAGCCAAGCUAACGAAUGCCUACAAAAUAACCCGAUCUAUGAAAUAGCCGGUUUUAACUGUUUAGAACCUGAAAACCCAUAUUAUUCAGAUGAUAGCUUAAAAGACCCGUGUUACAUUCAAAAUUCAGAAAGCGACAGCGAG